CAGUAAACCUAAAUAUUUUAAAGGCACACAAUCCCAUCCAGACUUAGAAGUUAAGUAGGGCUAACCCAGUUAGUACUUGAAUGGGUGACUGCCAAAGAACACUAGAUGCUGUGCUAU
RNAcentral lists this ribosomal RNA (117 nucleotides) under Anolis carolinensis (green anole). The record is from RNAcentral. Lineage: Eukaryota; Metazoa; Chordata; Lepidosauria; Squamata; Anolidae.